RNAcentral lists this long non-coding RNA (3261 nucleotides) under Sus scrofa (pig). RNAcentral's name for it is "lncRNA (ENSSSCG00025005290.1)". Lineage: Eukaryota; Metazoa; Chordata; Mammalia; Artiodactyla; Suidae. The record is from RNAcentral.
GGGGCGCCUCGGGGGCUCUCGGGGCUUCCCUGUCGCGUCGGCUGCCGGGGGGUGUUCUCCCGCCCUCCGCCGCUCCGCCUACGUCCAGACUCCGCCCGGUAGCUUGAGUUGGGCAAUCUGUAGCCGAGGAAGCGCUACGUGGAGACCGGACUAAGUGGAUGCAGAGCCCUGGAGCUGGGCAACUAGAGGGCGGAUCUUGAAUGGGAUGCUGCACAUUCCUCAUGAGAAACCUGAGGUGGCACUAAAAAGACAGCCGCGGUUUUCCUACUGCCUGCUGCCAAGUUUCUUGAGGGCCCAGCUGUUAAGGGGCUGUGGUUGAGUUUUUCAGCAGGAGCAAGUUACAUAACACCACACCCUUGUCCACAGAGGCUCUGAUGUGACUUUUUAUGCCCCCUUCUUCUCACAAGAUGCAUUUCCCGGAUGGUCCUCGAUCUCUGAAGUCAGUCUUUCUCCUUUGGGGUGUCACUGAACCCUGUGACUCCCAAAGUGUCUCAUCCUGACCCUGAAAGGCACGUCUCGAACCCUGCUGUUCUGAGCUCCAGCCCUCCAGCGACGUCCCUGGAUGCCUCACUGACCUCUCAAGUUCAGCUUCUUCAGAGCAGCAUUCAUCGUCAUGCCCUGAAAGCCACCUCUCCUCUGACCCUGCCAGUGAUUCCAAAAUUAUUGGCAGACCACAAGCUCCAGACCCCAAAGUCUGUUCAACUCUGUCAUCUCCAUCCCUUUGGUCAUCAGCUGCUGAAAGUCUUUCCAGAACGUUUUCUCAGACGUUCCUUCUACAUUCAACUUCCUGGACCCUGUAGCCCCUGAUCCCUUCCCUUCCUUCCUUCCCCAGCUUUGAGUCCAUGCUGCACCAACUCAGGGACUCUUACUAGAGCCCACAUCCCCUUCCUUCUGUAUUUCUCAUCAUUGCUGUUUGACAUAACAUGAACCCAGCCAUCUUCUUUGCUUCAACUGGGAGGCUGAGCAGAACUGAAGAAACUGCACGGAGGGAAGAUAAAAGGAAAAUAGAAUCCUCAGUUCAGUUUCCACUGAGGCCCCAAGAUCAAGGAUGCCAAAUACGAUUGCAUUCCAAAGCAAAUAACUUGGCCCACCUUUCCGUGACUUGUGAAGAAAGUCAGGUUUCCUGAGUUUUAUCUUUCACUUACCUUGAGCUGUGAAUUCUUCCAGGCUGGCACUCCCUCCUUCCCUCCACCUUAGCCAUGUAGGAGCUUCACAGGCAUCUUUGACAGGUAUCUUUUGAAGCCUGUGGGACCCAGACAGGCAUUAGAUUCAUGCCUAGAGGAGAAAGUCUAAUGAGAGGCUGACUGAAGUGAGCUGUGUCUGUAGAGCAGAGGGCUGCAUUUAGGGAAUAGCCACAUUCUGGCCUAUGCCAGUCCAGAGGUGAAUUUUCUCGGGGAUCAACUGUGAAACCCACGGAAGGAAUGUGAGUUUGGGCUGUUUCCAAAGGAAUUCUGACCUGAAGGACUUCCUGCGAUCAGUGAGGUGUCCUCGGCAGAAAGGGGUUGGAAGUUCCAGAGAGGACUGUAGGUGGCUGGAUGGAGGCGAGGCAUUGCCUGAGAUGAAGGAAUUCCAACUGGAAGGGCCCAGCUCGGGGGAAUCCAAGGAGGCCACAGAUGCUCAAAUGAGAGAACAAAUGCCAAAACAUGAGCCAGACCAAGAGGGAAGCUCCACCAACUUCUGUUUGUGUCAGUCAAACAAGGCCUUCCUUUCCCUUGCCUUUCUUCAGUCUCUGCUGUGUCCUGGAAGACCCAGUGGAAAUGGAGAGGGGUGGAGGAAACUAACAUGAAUGGGGAAAAUAGAGACAAAACCUCCUUUCCCACAGCAGGCCCUUCGUUUGAUAGCAUAUCUAAGCUUGCCGUGAAGUUUUCUUACAGUAGUUCUGGGCAUAUUUAUAAACUAAGGCUGUGAGUUGGGGAUGAAAGGACCAGAGGACAUUUUGCUAUUUGAGAUGAUCAGAGAGCUAGAAGACUUUUCUAGUAUUUCACUCAAAGGGUAGGGAAAUGCUGAACCCAAAGAGGGUAUUCAAAUGGGCAUUGCACGUGAAGAAUAAAGUCAUUUUCUCUUUGCACCCUAGGAACCCAUCUUACUCAAUGAGAUUAUUCAACUCUAUCUCUGAAAUAAUCUUAAUCCACAGCUAGGUCUUAGCCUUCAAGCCCUGGCUAUACAUUUUUUUUUUUUCUGGUGGGUGUGUUCUCCUCUUCUCUACAAAGUUACUUUAGGACUUUCUACCUUCCUUGAUCCCUGAACUUCAUGCUGGCCCCUUACUCUUAGAUGAUCUUGCCUUGGUCUUUGCAGAAAGAUUCGAAUUCAUCAGAAGAAAGGAAACUCUUCAACAUUUCUUCAUCACCAAGUGAAGCUUAGAACCACACUCAAGAGUAUUAAUUUUUAAUUCACACAUGAUAUUGUAAGUAUGUAAGGGAUGGUUCCACUGUUUGACUACAGGUUAUUCUCUUAGGCAGGUAGAAUUUUCCCCCCAUAAUCUUAUUUUCAGUAUUGGUUUGCUUAUCAUCUUGUUUUCAUAUAUUGUAAAAAUAAACUUUUAGCUCAGUUUGAAAUUUGGAAAUUUUCUGUUGGUACUAAAAUUUAGGAGACAAUCUAAAGUCAAGACUUAAUUUAUAUGCAUUGCCUUCUACGAAAUAUGUCCACAAGAUUACCAUUAGUAUGGUAAAUAUUUUACAAUAUUUGAAAUAGGGCAUUUCACGCCUUUGCCACUACCCUUAGAGAGCUUUUCUAGUCUCAAUUCUCUUAUCCCUUCUAAUUACAAUUUCAUUUUAAAAGCAGUCGGGAGCACAUAUACCCUGAGCAUUUAAAUAUGUUACAUUUAAUGUAUCUAAUGAGUUUUAAAUUCCAAUAUAACUAACAAAAAUAAUGAAAAACUGAGUUGCUAAUGGAAGCAUGCUUCUCUAUACAAGUCAUUUACAUUAUCUAAAGGAAUUCUAAGUUCAUUAUAGAAAAUUUGAAAAUUAUAGGAAAGUAUAAAGAAUAAAAUAAAAAUCAGCCAUAAUCACACACUACUUCCAUACUCAUUCUUGAGUUCUUCCAGCCUUUUCUGUUUUUCAAACUGGGUAUAAUAAUGCACACACAUUUAGGAACCCUGCUGUUUUCCCACUGAACAUUCUGUUGAGGCCAUCUUUUUCCCUGUGCUAUUUAAAACCUGAACAAUCGUGUUUUGGUGACAAAACUAUAUUCCUUCAUAUUACAGCCUGUUAUAAUUUUUUGUAUUAUAACGCAUAUUCUACAUAAUAUAAUAAUAUAUAAUCU